GGACGUCCGUUCCUGCUCUGUGGAGGCGUUGCUUCGUUCCGGGCCUUGCGGCAACUCGGUUUUUCCUUCCCCUGCGCGGGAGACCUCUGCCACAACCAUGUUACGCCAGAUCAUCGGUCAGGCCAAGAAGCAUCCGAGCUUGAUCCCCCUCUUCAUAUUUAUUGGGGCAGGAGGUACUGGAGCAGCGCUGUAUGUAUUGCGCUUGGCAUUGUUCAAUCCAGAUGUUAGUUGGGAUAGGAAGAAUAACCCAGAACCUUGGAACAAACUGGGUCCCAAUGAUCAAUACAAGUUCUACUCAGUGAAUGUAGAUUACAGCAAACUGAAGAAAGAAGGUCCAGACUUCUAAAUGAAAUGUUUCACUAUAAAGCUGCUUAGAAUGAAGGUCUUCCAGAAGCCAUCCGCACAAUUUUCCACUUAUCCAGGAAAUAUUUCCCCUCUAAAUGCACGAAAUCAUGUUGGUGUAUUGUGUUGGGGUUUACACUGAAUAAUAAAUAUCUGAAACUUGAUAUGUGUCACUAUUUAAUGCUGAAAAUUUGCUCUGAACUUUAGAGUAUAGGAAAUAAACUUAGAAUUUAAGGAAUUUCUUGAAUUUCCAUCCAUUUGUGUAAUUUGAAGAUAAGACUUUAAGUUGCUCAAAACACUUCAUUUUUUGUAUGGGACAUUGGUAACUUCACUAGAGUAUAUUUAACAACUGGUACUGGAAAUUAUACUUGCAAAUGCAAAGAUCAUGAAGAGUACUCAAGUGUCUGGCAUUGGUAAAAUGGAAACCUUUGGAUUUCUCCAACUGAAUGAUGAAGUGUGUUUAGUUGUUAAUGAUUUUUACCAUGGCAUACCCCUGUGCUGAAGAUUUUCAAGUUUAUCAGGGAUUGUAUUUGGAUCUGAGUCCCAUCUAAUUCAUGGAGGUAGUAGCCAUUAUGCUUUUACUGUACUGAUUUAAUCACACAACACUGCUUUGUCAGUUUCUUAAUGAAGUCACCAAACAAAUCAUUUAAAUACUGAUGUCUUGGAUUAGCAUUUAUGUAUAUUUGAUAAAUUGCAGCUUUCAGAAUUUGCAUGUGCUUCCAGUAUGUACUUGGGGGGGAAAAAAGCCAAGCAAAAAUCACACUGAAUUUCACUUCUUUCAAGUUUAUUAAUUCACCCUGAUCAGGAUUUACCCUCACUAGUCCACUAAAAAGUGCUUUUGUUAAGGUCGUCUGUGACCUACCUCCAUGUUUCUAAAUUCAAAAGUCAAGGAUCAGUACUCAUUUUGACCUAACAGUUGACAUGACUCUUGAAACGUUUUCAUCUUGUAGUCUCUAGAAUAACAUACUUUCUUUUCCUUUUACAUCAUUGGCUUUUCUAAUCAGUUUCUUGGUGUACUUUGUGACCUUUUAUUUUUGUUUUGUUUUUGUUUUAUUUAUUUUUUUGUUUUUUGUUUUUUGUGACCUUUUAAUAUUGGAAUACUCCAAAGAAAAAACUUAGGACCUUUUCAUUAUCUGCAGUCUUCAUCCAGUCUCGUAUUUUCAAAUAUGAUGUGAAUAUCCUAGGUAAUUUUUGAGACCAAAUGUUUUCCCAUUUGUAUAUGUGUAUACACGGGUACACAUAUUAUGUAUGGAUAUGUCUAUAUUCACUCGUUCUAUGUGGAUGUCUAAUGGGCAUCUUAAAUUUAACAUGUCCAAUUUGUGAACCUCUCAGAUUCCACAUCUACAAUCUUCAGUUGCACUGUCUUCAAUCAUACCAGUUUAUAGGAACACCAUUCUCAUAAUUAAGGCCAAAAUUCUCAGUCUUCAUUAACUUUUUUUAAUACCUGGAUGUAUCAAUAAGUCAUGUAUCCUCUACCUCCAAAAUAUACCUAGAAUCUCCUUGUUUUCAACAUAUAAUUCCCCUAUCACCUUGGUCCUAAGCCAUUGUCAGCUAACCUUAAUUAAAAUACUCUAAUAUCCCUGUCUAUGGAUUGCAACACAGCGGCCUAAGUGAUCUUUAAUAUAUGUCAGAAUAUGACAAACCUUUCCUCAAAGCCUACCAAAGCCCACCAACAUCUUCCCAUUUUAGUCAAAAGCUAGAUAUUUCAACUUUCUCCCUCUACUUUCUAUUAUUUUCUACUGUGCUCACACACCACCAAGUGGAUUUCCUUGAUCUUCCACACCAAUGCAUAUUUCUGCCUCGGGGAUUUGAUCUUUGGUUUAGAAUUCUCUUCCCCAAAUAUUGGCAUGGUUUGCUCUCACUUUUUCUAGUCUUUCUCAUGUUGACCUUUUUAAUGAGGCCUUCCCUGUCCAAAAUUUUGCACCCUGCUUUACCAUCACUUUUAUUUUUUUAAAUUUUUAUUUAUUUAUGAUAGUCACACAGAGAGAGAGAGAGAGGCAGAGGGAGAAGCAGGCUCCAUGCGCCAGGAGCCCGACAUGGGAUUUGAUCCCGGGUCUCCAGGAUCGCGCCCUGAGCCACAGGCAGGCACCAAACCUCUGCGCCACCCAGGGAUCCCCCUUUACCAUCACUUUUAUUCUCAUUUAUUACUGUCCUAAUAUGUAAUUAGAUUUAUUUGUUUAAACUUCUCCCCUCACUAAAAUUUAAGCUCCAUGGACAAGUAUUUUUGUCUUUUGUAUCCAUAACACCUACAGUGGUACCUAGCACAUAGUUGGUGUUUAAUAAAUACUUGUUAAAUGGAUUUUUUUUUAAAAGGGGCCGGUUCAGUAAGCAUCUGGAACAAAGCAAAGUGAAUACGGAUGACUCUUAAGAGAGGCAGAGAAUCAGAAUUGGAGAUGGUGAAACGCCUUUUACAAAAGCACUCUGAGCUAUGCUUCCUCACUACCACCCCAGUUGAUUAUUUUUCCUCAAUUGAUAAUUUUUAAUAGGUUUUUAAACUAGAGCAUUUUUUCAACUAGGGCAUUAUGUUUGUUCUAAAAUAGUAUCCAGUUUGUUCUGGAGUUUGAAGGUUGUUUUGUUUCACACACUGCAAUCAAGAUGAAUCUGAAUGAAGAAAAUAAGUAUAGGCACAAAUAAAACCAGAUAUCAUUUUUUAUUAAAAAAAAUCCUUGAGUCCCCAAUACCAUAGUCAUUGCCAAAACUAUCCAUUUUCCUUUUUUGCUUUAUUGUUUCCAAUUCUAGAAGCAGUGCAUGCUCAACGCAGUUAAAAUAAUUCACAAAAAAUAUAUGUCUAAGACUUUUUGUGAUGUAGAGGAUAUGUUAGAUGCUAUUUUGUAAUUGCUUUUUCAAAAAUGUCCCAAUAUGGCAUUCAACAACCUCAGUAUUAUUUUAAGAGCUUAUUUAUUUGAUAGAGAACACAAGCAGGGGAAGCCUCAGGCAGAGGGAGAGGGAGAAGCAGGCUCCCUGCUGAGCAGAGAGUCCAAUGUGGGGCUCCAAACCAGGGCUCUGGGAUCAUGACCUGAGCUGAUGGCAGAUGCUUAACUGACUUAGCCACGCAGGUGCCCCAGGAACCUUGUUAAUUUUAACAAAUACCAGUUAGUGUUAAGCAAAACAGACCAUUUAUAUUAAUGAAUAUUGAAAUGCAAUAAAGAAAAAAUACAUAUUAUACGUAAAAAUUGUAUACACAUUUACUACAUUUUAACAUGUCCCAUUGUAUCAGUUUUCCCUUUCUUCUGGGAUGGUUGGUAGAAUUCAUUUUUGGAGGCACUCUCCACUUCUCUUGAUUAUGUAGGGUAAUGAAACUGAGGGUUAUAAGAGGGCAUCUUAUAACAGGAUCAAACUAAUAAUUGAAAACAUUAUUUAGCUAGGCACCACUAAGCUCCUUAUAUAUGUUAAUUUAUUAUGGGUACAACAUUGUAUGGCAGACUUAUUACUCCUCCCCCACCCCUUUUUGACAAGGCAUAAAAAUAUGCCCAAGGUCAAACAUGAUUAGGAAGUGGUGGAACCAGGAUUUUAAUCCAAGGACUUUGAUGUAAGAGUUCAUUCUCUGAUCUCUGUAGACUUGUCUCAUAGAGUUGCCUUUAGAAUUAAAUAAGAUAAUAUAUGUAAGAAACUGUAUUUCCUGGCAGGAUGAUCAUUACUUACAUUGUUAGCUAUUAUAACUAUAAACCCUGGAGUUUAUUUCUUCCUCUCAUUCCAUCAGAAAUGUUAAUGAGAAAUUUCUAAAAGGUAUAUUAUAUAAACCUUAAAGAAAAUUACUAUUUAGUAAAACUUCUCCAACUAUCAACAAUCUGAUCAACUGAUCCUUUAUUGUAAAUAUCAUUGAUUUUAAUAUGUGGACAAGGGCCACCUUUAUACCAGAGCUGUAAGACUUAAGAAGUGAUGUGAUUUAUGUUUCUCAAUAGGUUUGCUAAAGCAGUGCCUACCCACAUAGCAUGCCAUAAUAAUGUUCCACCUUCUCUGGUUUGCAUUAUGACUCAGUGAAUUAAAAUCUUAAUAUGCAGGUCAUUUCUUCUAGGUUGAAAAUGAUACUGAGUUAAUCUAUGCCUGAUCUUAAAGAAUUAUUUGAUACUGUAUCAAUGACAAAUAGCAUCUGGAAAA
This 4440-nucleotide long non-coding RNA is filed under the name Canis lupus familiaris (dog). RNAcentral describes it as "lncRNA (ENSCAFG00000054733.1)". The record is from RNAcentral. Lineage: Eukaryota; Metazoa; Chordata; Mammalia; Carnivora; Canidae.